RNAcentral lists this ribosomal RNA (116 nucleotides) under Clostridia bacterium. The record is from RNAcentral. Lineage: Bacteria; Bacillati; Bacillota; Clostridia.
GUCGGUGUUUAUUACAAUGAGGGUCCACCUGUUCCCAUUCCGAACACAGUAGUUAAGCUCAUUUGUGCCGAAGAUACUUGGUGGGUGACUGCCCGGGAAAAUAGGUAAUGCCGACA